UACGAAGGGGGCUAGCGUUGUUCGGAAUUACUGGGCGUAAAGCGCGCGUAGGCGGUGAUCUUUGUCAGAGGUGAAAGCCCGGGGCUCAACUCCGGAAUUGCCCUUGAAACGGGAUCGCUAGAGACCGAGAGAGGAUGGCGGAAUUCCUAGUGUAGAGGUGAAAUUCGUAGAUAUUAGGAAGAACACCGGUGGCGAAGGCGGCCAUCUGGCUCGGUACUGACGCUCAAGUGCGAAAGCGUGGGGAGCAAACAGG
Molecule: ribosomal RNA, 253 nt
Filed under: uncultured bacterium
Lineage: Bacteria
Description: partial 16S ribosomal RNA
Rfam family: Bacterial small subunit ribosomal RNA
Source: RNAcentral